GACGAACGCUGGCGGCGUGCUUAACACAUGCAAGUCGAACGGAAAGGCCCUUCGGGGUACUCGAGUGGCGAACGGGUGAGUAACACGUGGGUGAUCUGCCCUGCACUUUGGGAUAAGCCUGGGAAACUGGGUCUAAUACCGAAUAGGACCGCAUGCUUCAUGGUGUGUGGUGGAAAGCUUUUGCGGUGUGGGAUGGGCCCGCGGCCUAUCAGCUUGUUGGUGGGGGAAUGGCCUACCAAGGCGACGACGGGGAGCCGGCCUGGGAGGGUGACCGGCCACAUGGGGACUGAGGUACGGCCCAGACUCCUUCGGGAGGCAGCAGUGGGGAAUAUUGCACAAUGGGCGCAAGCCUGAUGCAGCGACGCCGCGUGAGGGAUGACGGCCUUCGGGUUGUAAACCUCUUUCAGCAGGGACGAAGCGCAAGUGACGGUACCUGCAGAAGAAGGACCGGCCAACUACGUGCCAGCCGCCGCCGUAA
RNAcentral lists this ribosomal RNA (478 nucleotides) under uncultured bacterium. RNAcentral describes it as "partial 16S ribosomal RNA". It matches the Rfam family "Bacterial small subunit ribosomal RNA", at positions 28 to 523 of the family's 1533-position model. The record is from RNAcentral.